CCAGCUCCAAUAGCGUAUAUUAAAGUUGUUGUGGUUAAAACGCCCGUAGUUGGUUUUUCGGUCUCGAAGCUUGGUAGCUCGUAUGGGCUUAACUGAGUCUUCCGGCCUAAAUUUCUUGUACUCUCCCGAUGCUCUUUAUUGAGUGUCUCGAGAUGCUAGAACGUUUACUUUGAAAAAAUUAGAGUGCUAAAAGCAGGCUAUACGCUUGAAUAAAGUGCAUGGAAUAAUGGAAUAGGACUUUAGUUUUAUUUUGUUGGUUUUCGAAAUUAAAGUAAUGAUUAAGAGGAACAGACGGGGGCAUUCGUAUUGUUGCGUUAGAGGUGAAAUUCUUGGAUCGCAGCAAGACGAACAACUGCGAAAGCAUUUGCCAAGAAUGUUUUCAUUAAUCAAGGACGAUAGUUAGAGGUUCGAAGGCGAUCAGAUACCGCCCUAGUUCUAACCGUAAACUAUGCCAACUAGCGAUCCGUCGGUGUUAAAUAUUGACUCGACGGGCAGCUUCCGGGAAACCAAAGUUUAUAGGUUCCGGGGGAAGUAUGGUUGCAAAGCUUAAACUUAAAGGAAUUGACGGAAGGGCACCACCAGGAGUGGAGCCUGCGGCUUAAUUCGACUCAAC
RNAcentral lists this ribosomal RNA (613 nucleotides) under Nematoda environmental sample. RNAcentral describes it as "SSU rRNA". It matches the Rfam family "Eukaryotic small subunit ribosomal RNA", at positions 585 to 1204 of the family's 1831-position model. The record is from RNAcentral. Lineage: Eukaryota; Metazoa; Nematoda.